AGCGACGCCGCGUGAGGGAUGACGGCCUUCGGGUUGUAAACCUCUUUCAGCAGGGAAGAAGCCACAAGUGACGGUACCUGCAGAAGAAGCGCCGGCUAACUACGUGCCAGCAGCCGCGGUAAUACGUAGGGCGCAAGCGUUGUCCGGAAUUAUUGGGCGUAAAGAGCUCGUAGGCGGUUUGUCGCGUCUGCUGUGAAAGCCCGGGGCUUAACCCCGGGUGUGCAGUGGGUACGGGCAGACUAGAGUGCAGUAGGGGAGACUGGAAUUCCUGGUGUAGCGGUGGAAUGCGCAGAUAUCAGGAGGAACACCGAUGGCGAAGGCAGGUCUCUGGGCUGUUACUGACGCUGAGGAGCGAAAGCAUGGGGAGCGAACAGGAUUAGAUACCCUGGUAGUCCAUGCCGUAAACGUUGGGCACUAGGUGUGGGGGACAUUCCACGUUUUCCGCGCCGUAGCUAACGCAUUAAGUGCCCCGCCUGGGGAGUACGGCCGCAAGGCUAAAACUCAAAGGAAUUGACGGGGGCCCGCACAAGCGGCGGAGCAUGCGGAUUAAUUCGAUGCAACGCGAAGAACCUUACCAAGGCUUGACAUAUACCGGAUCGUUCCAGAGAUGGUUCUUCCCCUUUGGGGUCGGUAUACAGGUGGUGCAUGGUUGUCGUCAGCUCGUGUCGUGAGAUGUUGGGUUAAGUCCCGCAACGAGCGCAACCCUCGUUCCAUGUUGCCAGCACGUGAUGGUGGGGACUCAUGGGAGACUGCCGGGGUCAACUCGGAGGAAGGUGGGGAUGACGUCAAAUCAU
This 794-nucleotide ribosomal RNA is filed under the name Kocuria sp. DJQD4. RNAcentral's name for it is "bacterial SSU rRNA". It matches the Rfam family "Bacterial small subunit ribosomal RNA", at positions 390 to 1193 of the family's 1533-position model. Lineage: Bacteria; Bacillati; Actinomycetota; Actinomycetes; Micrococcales; Micrococcaceae. The record is from RNAcentral.